This 737-nucleotide ribosomal RNA is filed under the name Zoanthus sansibaricus. RNAcentral's name for it is "partial 12S ribosomal RNA". It matches the Rfam family "Bacterial small subunit ribosomal RNA", at positions 497 to 1386 of the family's 1533-position model. Lineage: Eukaryota; Metazoa; Cnidaria; Anthozoa; Zoantharia; Zoanthidae. The record is from RNAcentral.
UUUAUUUUCCCCCCCCCGCGCGGUUAGAUUUAGGGGCUCAAGCCUUUAUGAGCAAAGGGGCGUAAAGGGUGUGUAGGCCGACUGCCCCACCCCCCAAGGUGGUAAAUGGAAUUUUUCUGUAGCGGUAGAAUGUGCGGAUAGAAAAUAGAACUCCAAAAGCUGAAGCAAUUUACCGCGGGGUGGGAGGGGGGCCCCCUGGGGCGCCCCCGAGCUACGGGAUGAAACACGAGGGUGUGGGGAACAAACAGGAUUAGAGACCAUGAGUAGUCCACAAUGUAAGCGAUGGAGAAAAUGCGAAUGCAGUCACGAUAAGGCAGCAAUAUUCCGCCUGAGUAGUACGAUCGCAAGAUUAAAAUUCAAAAAAUUUGGCUGUUCACCGUAUCAAUUAGAGGAGCGUGUAGUUUAAUUCGAUAAACCGCGAGAUACCUUACCCAAACUUGAAUCCUUGAGGAUUCUAAGGAAUCCUUAUGGACCGGUAUUGCAUGGCCGUCGUCAGUUUGUGUUAUGAAAACUUAAAACGGACCCAAUCCUUACUGAUGAGAAUUAACCGGAACGGAUGAAGUCAGGCUCUUAUGAUCCCAAUGUUUGGGGAUACAUAUGCGCUACAUUUUCUUAUACAAUGGGAAACCUGGGAGGUGAAACCCCAAAGAGAGUACUCCGGUAGGCUGAUAUAAGAUUGGAUUUAAUAGUAAUCUGAAAGUAUAGCGUUUCGGUGAAUACGGCUCUAGUGUUACCAC